Molecule: long non-coding RNA, 1264 nt
Filed under: Homo sapiens (human)
Lineage: Eukaryota; Metazoa; Chordata; Mammalia; Primates; Hominidae
Description: long intergenic non-protein coding RNA 2987
Source: RNAcentral
GGCGGGGAGAUCCCAGCUACUAGAGGACGCCCGUUCCAAUGGCAACUCUGCCAAGGCGCCUAUGAGAGCCUCUUGGCUUUUACCUGGUCUGCGAGAAAUCAAACUUUGGGCACAAGUCAUGAAGCCGACAAGCCCGGGAGACACAGUGUCAGAAUUACAAGGUGAGAUCAGCCGCCCGGCCAAGCUAUCUUCUCGCUAGCAGGUCUCGCAUCUGGGGCUCGAUCUCGUGCAGAGGAGCAUUUCCGAAGACACUGGCCGCUCCCACAAUGGCUCCGAAGAACCCAGCGACCAGCGGGUUCAUGAGUUUGUUGGGGCUGUCCACUCGGUACCAGCUGCGCAGGGAUGUCAGGACAAAGAAACAAGUUGCCUGGUUCCAGCCCUGCUUCAGCACGGGGCCUGUGGGGCCCCGGACCACCACGGCCUCGGCCACGCUAGCUCACUGGCCGCACCGCUGCCCGCCUUGCUGUUCACCAGUCCCUGGGCAUCCCGCAUCUGGUUGCUGAGGAACGCCUGACGCCGCCUUGUGGAUGAAGCCGCAGAGCAGGGAGCUGAGGCUGCGGCCCAGGCCCAGGCUGCCUUGGCUGCGACUGUGUGCCUGCAGGCCCCAUGCCCGGUAUCCGGUGGAUGCGAGUGCUAGUCCAGCUGCAGCUGCAUCUUCACGAACUCGGUGGGGAACGGGAUGCAGAUUUUUUUUUUCUUUUCCUUCCUUCCUUCCUUCCUUCCAACUUCCUUCCUUCCUUCCCCUUUCUUUCUUUCUUUUUUUUUUUUUUUUUUUUUUGACAGAAUUUUGCUCUUGUCCCCCAGGCUGGAGUGCAGUGGCGCGAUCUUGGCUCACUACAACCUGGAUUCAAGCGAUUCUCCUGCCUCAGCCUCCCGAGUAGCUGGGAUUACAGGCAUGUGCCACCAUUCCCGGCUAAUUUUUUUGUCUUUUUAGUAGAGACGGUGUUUCCCCAUGUUGGUCAGGCUGGUCUCAAACGCCUGACUCAGAUGAUCCGCCCGCCUCGGCCACCCAAAGUGCUGAGAUUACAGGCUUGAACCACCGCGCCUGGCCCUGUGAUGUAGAUUUUGAUGCUGCCAGCCAGGCUGCCUGCCGGGAUCGCCUGCCCUGGAGCAGGAGCAUCAGCCGUGCGUUCCAGGACGCAGGCAUGGCAUGACCGGCAGGAGGCGGAGUGCCCGGCGUCUCUUGGGAUCGGAGCCUCCUGAAUUCCACGCUGGGACCUUAAUUUGGUUUUAACACAAAUAAAGAUCUCACAUAAAGAUAAAA